CUCGGAGUGGAGCAGGGGAAGCUCGUCUGGCUCAUAACCAGAAGGUCGUUGGUUCAAAUCCAGCCUCCGCAACCA
RNAcentral lists this transfer RNA (75 nucleotides) under Oscillospiraceae bacterium. RNAcentral's name for it is "tRNA-Met". It matches the Rfam family "tRNA". Rfam says of the family: Transfer RNA (tRNA) molecules are approximately 80 nucleotides in length. Their secondary structure includes four short double-helical elements and three loops (D, anti-codon, and T loops). Further hydrogen bonds mediate the characteristic L-shaped molecular structure. tRNAs have two regions of fundamental functional importance: the anti-codon, which is responsible for specific mRNA codon recognition, and the 3' end, to which the tRNAs corresponding amino acid is attached (by aminoacyl-tRNA synthetases). tRNAs cope with the degeneracy of the genetic code in two manners: having more than one tRNA (with a specific anti-codon) for a particular amino acid; and 'wobble' base-pairing, i.e. permitting non-standard base-pairing at the 3rd anti-codon position. The record is from RNAcentral. Lineage: Bacteria; Bacillati; Bacillota; Clostridia; Eubacteriales; Oscillospiraceae.